CAUAUACUCUCUCCGUCCCGAAUUACUUGUCGCGAAAAUGGAUAGAAAUUGAUGUAUCUAGAACAAAAGAUACGCCUAGAUAUAUUCAUUUCCGCGACAAGUAAUUUGGGACAGAGGGGGUAGUAU
Molecule: non-coding RNA, 126 nt
Organism: Triticum aestivum (bread wheat)
Lineage: Eukaryota; Viridiplantae; Streptophyta; Magnoliopsida; Poales; Poaceae
Source: Rfam